Molecule: non-coding RNA, 1743 nt
Organism: Camelina sativa (false flax)
Lineage: Eukaryota; Viridiplantae; Streptophyta; Magnoliopsida; Brassicales; Brassicaceae
Source: RefSeq, a predicted model, not a curated record
CUUCUACGUUAUCAGAUUUCUUCUCUUUCUUCUCCACCACGAGCUCCUUCAACAAUGGACUGCAACAAUCCUCAAUACUUUCUCCUACUAAAACCCCAAUAUGUUAAAUCUCAAAUCGUUUUUUCUCCUUCUAAAACCUAAAUCGGCCUCUCUUCGGAUCCAAACCCUUGACGUCUCGGUCUCGCUGAUCUGUUUGCUAAAUUCAAGCUUCGAAGCCCUAAUUUGUUUCGCCAUUAUCAUUGAUUUGUUCUAUUUCUCGCGUCACCUGACUUAGUAAAAAGAUAUGAAGGGAUUUGAACGAAGAUGUAUUUUCAGUGCUAUAUCAACGAGAAGGGUGAGAAGGUUUACACCACUAAGAUUUUUGUGUCUGCAGUAUCGGUGGGGAUAGAAUUGAAUUGUAAGGUUUUUUUUUUUGAUGAUUUUUGUGUGUGUAGUUUUAAUUCAAACCCUUUUUUUUUCUUUUGAGAAUUACCUGGUCCAUGCGAGGUCUACGGCGAGCUGUAGAGCGGAUACAAGCUGCAGCACAAGCAACCAUGCGAGCCAUCUCUUCUCUGUCAUACUCAUUAUGCAGCUUUGUAUCGAGAAGGGACACACUAGCAACUUUUGUUGAUUAAUUUAUCUUCAAAAUUUAUAGAAGCUCUUCUCGACACAUUGAAUUCAGUUUUGCUUUGAUAUAAGCUCUUCUCGACACAUUGAGUUCAGUUUUGCUUUUGUCAUGUCUGCUUAGUCUUAACAUUUGCUGUUUGUUUUGUCUAAACCUAGGAAGAUAGAAGUUCUUUCGGACAUUGAGUUCUUUUUUUAGUUCUUAUUCUAUAUAUAGAAGCAUUUUGAUACACAAUGAGCUUGGUUUCAUUUAUGUUUAUAGAGUUUCAUUUAUUCUGUCUUCCAGUCGGUUCUCAUAUGAUCCAUAUAAUUGUUUCAUCUGGUUAUUUCAGAUUCAAGGAGGGCAAGUGCGUCAGUGAUAAGAUACAAUGGUAAUAUAUGCAUUAUAAAGAUACAUUUUGAAUUUUGUUUAUUUCAGCUAUUUGAGCUAAGAUUUUUUUUUCAGUCUUUUGGAUAACCACAGUCAGCUUUGUUCAAUUUCCAUUCAUUCCUGACAGUGGUGCUGCUUCUGAUCUGCACUUGCACUUAUCUGAAGAUGCAGUUCCCUGCUAUUUUGGAGCAGAAAACUGGAUUAGUAGAAUCCAUGUUAUAAAGGGUGAAAAAGGUUAUCCAUUCCACUCACCUCUCAUUUAUUUUGGUCAACUAAGAAAAUGCAUCAUCAACAUGUCAUCAAGCGUUAUAAAAUUUAAGAUUCUUAGAUUCGUAUAUUCAUUUAUAUUCUUAACUCCACUACUUGACUCUCAUAUCAUGCUUGAGAUUUUAAUUUUCUACUAUUGAAACGGAAAUUGGACUAAACCAUUACUCAACAAUGUAAAUGGUGCCACAAGUUUCGAACAUUUGAAGACUGUAGGAGGUGUUGUACAUGAAACUUUUAAAGAAGCAUGUUAUGCAAGAGGGUUGAUAGAUGGAGACAACUAAUGGGACAAGUGAAAUGGUGAAAAGAUUUGUUGAAAAGCUCAUUCACUUUGGUGACUAUCCCUUUCAAGAUAUAAUUGUAUUUUUUGCCUCUGUUAUGAACUCAAACUCUGUUUUCUUUGUUUUCUUACACUUUUAUUUUCCAAAUAAAUUUCACAUUUUUAUUUGGAACGCUUAUGCACUAUUGCUCUUAUUGUUAUCAGCCUUCUCCUACCUUCAAGUUUA